CUUCGAUACCCAGAAAUUAUAAGCUAUCUAAAACAUCACCCUGCUCCUCCCUGAUAAGAAUUUGAACUCUCUGACGAAGAAAAUGAAGCAAAAGGUAGUGAUCCAGGUGAACUUGAAUAAUGGCAAAAAGAAUGCUCGGACCAAGGCCUUGUAGAUUGCAGUUGGUGUACAAGGUGUUGAAUCAGUAUCUUUACAAGGUGAGGAUAGCAGUCAAAUUGUUGUUGUUGGGAAUGACAUUGAUUCAGUCCACUUGACAUCUUUGCUGAAAAAGAAAGUUGGAUCUGCUGAAUUAAUGAGUCUCUCACCAAUCAGUUAUGAGAGGGAAAAACAACAAGAGCCCAAACACAACGAAAUACAAUCAAAGGUUUGGCUAGCUUACCAAGCUAGUGUGCCAUAUUAUUACACUGACAUCUUAGAUAACAACCAAGUCUCUUGUACUAUUAUGUGACCACAUGUAUGAAUUUUGUCAAUGGCUAAAACAUAAGUAGACUUUCUUAGAUGCUGUAACAUAGAUUCUACAUACAAUUCAUGCCAUUGAAUUUAAUUCAAAAAUCACAAGUAAAGCACUAUGUGUAAGAAGUGUGGAAUGACUUUCUAAGGUCUAUCUCUUUAAUAGAAGAGAAAAUUUUUGU
Molecule: long non-coding RNA, 632 nt
Organism: Quercus lobata
Lineage: Eukaryota; Viridiplantae; Streptophyta; Magnoliopsida; Fagales; Fagaceae
Exons: 3
Source: RefSeq, a predicted model, not a curated record